Molecule: long non-coding RNA, 1024 nt
Organism: Apis cerana (Asiatic honeybee)
Lineage: Eukaryota; Metazoa; Arthropoda; Insecta; Hymenoptera; Apidae
Source: RefSeq, a predicted model, not a curated record
ACUUUCAUUAAAAUCAUAAAUUUCGAAUUGGAUAAAUUUCCUUAUUGCGUACUAACUAAAUAUUAAAAAUUUUAAUUUUAAUUGUAGAAAAUUUAAUUCUAAAAUUUCCUAAUCCAACAAAUACGCGAACGAAAACGGGUAAAGAAUCUUCCGUGUGGUCUCACGGCUCACAAGUUGGGAAUCCACGCAAUAAAUAAAGGCGAGCUAGUCGAUGAAAAUUCUUUGUAACAGAGUAUCGUGGAUCGAGCGAAGGAAGUCGUUUGCCAAAGUGCGAAGGGUUCCAGUCAUGCGAUACUAGAUGUCGUUGCCAAGGAACUGACUCGUGACCUCCGAAACGCGUUCCACUCAAUGUGAAUCCUUCCCAAUUUUUCUCAAUUCCUUUGAUCGACUUUCGUGACUUUCACCAUGCUGGAACUUUCGCGCCAAUUGACUCCGCAUCGUAUCUCGCGUAACGAAGAUCCAAGGACACGACCUCGAGCGUCGAGCAUCCAUUCUCGAAGGAGAGGUAUAAUGACCUGGUAAAGUUUCGAUGCCGUGCCGACACACAUUCGAACGAAGAAUAAAAAAGGUUUUGUUACCCGCACCGGAAGUGGACCGACUUUUCAUCGAGUGCUGCAGAAUAGCAAGUAUAUACGGUCGAAAACGCUUGCAGGGUAUUUCUUGAUCACGUGGAAGAGAAAAGCGUGUGAGUAUGUGUGCGAAAGAGAGAGAGAAACGACGGUGCUAGAUGCACGGAUAAGAAAAGCACCGGUUAAUAGUGGUGGAAGAUAGAGGCUGAAGAACGUGCAAUAAAGGAAGUGGUUGCGGACGAAGAGGAAAUUGUGACUUAUAGCAUCCUUCCUGAACAGUGGAUCUAAGUACGUGCGAACUGAAACCUACUUCUUCCUUAUCGCGUAUAUGUAUAUUAGUGUGAAACGAACAAAUUGAAAUUUUCUUCACAAUGUAAAAGAAAAAUUUAUCUGAUCUCCGCAAUUUAGACGAUAUUUGGGAAAUUAAAACAAUUAUAAUUUUUUUGUUUUCUUUC